CUUUUUGAACUUGGGAGUGCUGACAGGAAAACCUAUUCUUGCUGCUCUGCGAAGCCUGCAGUCAGACUGCAGAGCAGGGCCAGGAGAGGUAAAAGGCUAUGUCCCCGUUCACGUUCCCCCGGUUGUGUGUCUUUCCUUGUGGAUUUCAUUUUCAUUUACCGUGUUGCACUUUGCUGUUUCUGCAUUCCUGCUCUGAAACCAGUUAGGAAACCAGGCACAGGUUUGCUCUUUUGCUCCCAAAUCCCGUUGCCUCUCCAGCGCUGGACUUGUUUACUGGACCAAAGUGAAAACGCACUCGGGUGGGUAUUUGUUAAAAAAACAAACAAACAACCCCCCCCCCAAAAAAAAAACCCGUUUCUAAAGGNUCCUGUACCUUGGACCCAGAAGCUAUCCAGAGUGGCUGGACAGAGCACCGUGGCACCCGGGGUACAUCUGAGAACAAGACUCAAAGGGUUUCAAGGAGCCGACAGGAGCCCCCUCUUUUCCGAUCCUUCCCAGCGCCGGCCGGCCUCGGCUCUCCGGGGCAGCCCCGCCGUCUGGCAGCAGCCCGGGAGAGACAUGCUGUUUUGUUUAAAUCCUCCACAUUCUUUGCCAUUUCCCCAUUGGCCGGAUGGGGCUACCCUCCCCGCCGCGACGGCUGCUGAUGUCAGCUGCGCUCGCUCCUCCCGCACCCACCUCCCCAGCCCAAGGCACACCGCAGCUCGGCGCCGACUCUCCGGCCCCGGCGAGGUGGCUGCAAACUCGCGGGCACGCACGGCGCUCGGGGAUCCGGACUCGGGGGAGGGGACGCGCGCGGAAGGCGCCAGCUUCCUCCCGCCCGCCCGCCCCUCGCAGGCGCGAGCCGAGGUCGGAGGAACCCGGAGCCCCAGCCCCGCAGAAGCCGAGCGGCCGCGGCGGCGGAGGCUUCCCUUUUCUCACCCAGCGAGACCCUGGAGCGCCUCGGCGACCGGCCUUAAAAAGAGAAGGAAAUCUUGUUUACCGCCGGGGAGCACAGCCGUUCGAGCCUUUGUCUGA
This 1014-nucleotide long non-coding RNA is filed under the name Capra hircus (goat). RNAcentral's name for it is "lncRNA (ENSCHIG00010021218.1)". The record is from RNAcentral. Lineage: Eukaryota; Metazoa; Chordata; Mammalia; Artiodactyla; Bovidae.